GAUUGUCCGACCAAGCUCCAAAAGAAGAGCACCUAUGUGCUGCAUUGCAAGGCCAACUUGAGCUGAUUCUGUCUGAAUUUGGCCCCUCACAGAAGGAUUACCAGAAACUCCCUCUCGUUCCAAGCGUUCUGCAAUAUGAGAUAAUGCAGUGAUCACAUGACCACCGAGAAGCCGUUCUGCAUGUCGCAGGACAAUGUGCAAUGCUUGCAAUCCCCUUACAUUAGAAGGUAAUUCUACAUUUGGGACAUCUCCUGUGUUGUUUGAAGUUGCAAUUGGCUGGUACCCAUUUUGUGCCAGUGCCUGCUCCAUAUGCGUCAUAAACUCAGAAAGUGUACUCAAAGAAUCAGGAAUUGGCGAAUGAAGCAAAGGAAGAGGUACUGCUGCAGUCAGAGGAAUUUGCAUGACCUGAGGUGGCAAUUGAAAUGGCUGACCAGGCUGUGUUUGAUUUCCUGCUUGACUCUGACCACUAACAUUACUUCGUAAGCCAUCUACUGUUUCAUUUCCUCGAGUCUGACCACUAACAUUUGACAUGUUAGAGGACUGCAUUCCACCAAUGCCAUUAAUUGCAGUCUGACCCCCAAUGCCAAAAGAGUUCAGCACCGCGCCAAUAACCCGACUGAGGUCUGGAAAAAUGCCUUCACCUUGCUCCCCAACAUUAAAGGUCCCAAGAACUAUACUGUGUGAUAUUUGCCCAACACGAUUUUGGGGGAUGCCAGCACUAGGAUCAUUACCUCGGUUACCAUUAUUUGCAUUUGUGUCACCAGAACUUGCAUCAGUUGAAGGUUGCAACUGUGCUGGCUGCCUUGCAACCAAGUGCAAGGUAUGCCCAUUCUCCACUUG
RNAcentral lists this unclassified non-coding RNA (840 nucleotides) under Hevea brasiliensis (rubber tree). Lineage: Eukaryota; Viridiplantae; Streptophyta; Magnoliopsida; Malpighiales; Euphorbiaceae. The record is from RNAcentral.